UGCAGUCGAACGGUAACGCGGGGCAACCUGGCGACGAGUGGCGAACGGGUGAGUAAUGUAUCGGAACGUGCCCAGUAGUGGGGGAUAGCCCGGCGAAAGCCGGAUUAAUACCGCAUACGACCUACGGGUGAAAGGGGGGGAUCGCAAGACCUCUCGCUAUUGGAGCGGCCGAUAUCAGAUUAGGUAGUUGGUGGGGUAAAGGCCUACCAAGCCGACGAUCUGUAGCUGGUCUGAGAGGACGACCAGCCACACUGGGACUGAGACACGGCCCAGACUCCUACGGGAGGCAGCAGUGGGGAAUUUUGGACAAUGGGCGCAAGCCUGAUCCAGCCAUGCCGCGUGCGGGAAGAAGGCCUUCGGGUUGUAAACCGCUUUUGUCAGGGAAGAAAUCUUUCGGGUUAAUACCCUGGAGGGAUGACGGUACCUGAAGAAUAAGCACCGGCUAACUACGUGCCAGCAGCCGCGGUAAUACGUAGGGUGCAAGCGUUAAUCGGAAUUACUGGGCGUAAAGCGUGCGCAGGCGGUUGUGUAAGACAGAUGUGAAAUCCCCGGGCUCAACCUGGGAACUGCAUUUGUGACUGCACAGCUGGAGUGCGGCAGA
RNAcentral lists this ribosomal RNA (601 nucleotides) under uncultured bacterium. RNAcentral describes it as "bacterial SSU rRNA". It matches the Rfam family "Bacterial small subunit ribosomal RNA", at positions 56 to 655 of the family's 1533-position model. The record is from RNAcentral.